This is a long non-coding RNA of Anguilla rostrata (American eel), 2120 nucleotides long. RefSeq lists it as uncharacterized. The record is from RefSeq and is a predicted model, not a curated record. Lineage: Eukaryota; Metazoa; Chordata; Actinopteri; Anguilliformes; Anguillidae. The transcript is spliced from 2 exons.
UUUUUUUUUAAAAGCCCGCACACGCUUGGCCUAUAUAAGAGGAUAAAGACAGUAUGGAUCAUUACCAGGUGAAGUGAAAACGGUGGUUCUAUCGAUGAAAGCUGCAUUGUGCAUUAUUAACUCAACGGCGCGCAUAAAACACUGGUUUCCUCGACAGAGCACCACCCCACAUAUAGUCUUUGCUGUCAAUUCAGGGCAGCGAGUCUCUCUCGCGUCUGUAGUCACCUCGAACACAACGAAGCCGUGACCUGGGAUUCGAGCGACGUGUGUCAUUGAACUGAUUCAUUCUACAGAGAAAUGCGAAGUUUUAACAUCUUUAUUCUCAGUUCGGCUAUUUUAUUUUUGGUGAUUGCUGAAAUCGCCAAUCUACCUUCGUGAAUCAGAAAACUAACUCUAAUGGGUUUGGACUGACAGUUUAUCACUUUGCCAUCAUUUCUGUAAACUCCUUGCUGACAUUUACCUACAUUGUUUGCUUUGAUAUUGCCACUGAUUUUUCACGUUGUUUUCACACAUUUUCAUUGGAUAAUGCUAUUUGCUGCACUGGGCCUGCUUACAUUUGGAACAGUUGCAUUUGUAAUUAGGCUUAAUGUUUUUACAUAUUGUCCUGUGUUCUAAGGACCAGGAGGAUUCACUAUUGGACUGAACUGUGGGUAAAAAAAUCAGUGACAACGAAAAGAAGUUGCUUUCGCAAUCCUUACAUUCCACUUGCUUUCGCAAUGAGUGAUACAUGCCAUCAACAGGAUUACUCAAUUGUCUUGUUUUUAGUUGGUGACUGAUUUUAUUGCACCCGUCGCUUCCCCACCUCUGUGGUACCAGCAGCAGGACGAACGUGGAGGAGACAGCACGGUGGUCUGUGGUCGUGAAGGGAUGUCAUUGUUUAUUGAAACCCUACGAAGGAACGCAGAAAUGCAUUACACUCCCAGUGGUGUAGAGUGUGGGUGUAGACGAUGUUAUUGUGCUGCCUCUUCAGGAAUAUCUAUAGGGUGGGUCUACGCUUCAGAGGCUGUGACACAGCUGGCAAGUUGCUACAGGAGUCCGAACGACGCUGCCUAUAAAAUCUUGCUAUCUUGCCAGCAAGCACGGGUUUAGCAGCAUACAUGUCAACGUAAUUUAAUGUGAAAUAUGAGAAGCAUUUCCCUUUAUGUGAAAUGCAUCGCUCCCGCUGUUGUUUCAGUUGUUAAAGCGACACGUUUUACAAUAUCUAGAGAAGGAAUGUGUUCGUAUCCAACUUGGGAGAAAAUGAGCAACGCAAAAUAUUAUCGCGUGGGCACUAUUUCAGCAUCAGCAAAUCUCCCUCAGUUUAAAUGAGUCAAAUACGGUUCAGAUGUAGUCUAACGCCUACUCUAUUAGAAGGGAGUCUAUUCUGUCGGAUUGGAUUCAGCACUGAAAUGUUUUCAAUGCACACUGUAAGCAUUACUUCUGCAUUCUCCGUGUGCGCAGGGAGGGUAAGGGUAAAUGUCAGGAUUUCUUACUGGAUGUGGAGCAAUUUCUACGUUUUUUUUACCGAAGCAGCACCUGACGGCCAGCGGAUGGGCCUGACCUGAUAAUGCAUGUGACACACGCCUGUAGUUAAGGCAUUUUCCACCCCACACCAAAAGCAAGACAAGUGCAAUAAUCAGGUGGACCCAAGACCCGAAGACCGAUUCCAGGAUCGGGACUGCUGGAUUCUCCUCGGCGAGUGGCCAAAACACACAGGAGACCCAAAAAACAAACGAAUGUACGCUUUUAUUAAACUCCAGAGAACAGCAGUUUGACAUUACACAAGCACAGAUUAAACUUGCACUAUGCAACAGACAAUGUUACAGACCUAUGCAUAACAUGCAUGCUUUUUUUAUCAUCAUUUUUUUUAGUCAGUAAACACUGCUUGUUCUGAAGGUCAAAAAGCUGUGACAUAACUAGAUACAGAAAUGGAACCGUGAACACAAAAAGGAAUGUCCACACCUAAAGUCAUGAAAGGUACAACCAAGGAGACCCAACCCCACCCCAAAGAAGAAGAAACUUGUGAACUUGUAGAUUUCCUCUACCUCUCCUCCUGUGUAACGAGGCGGACAGUGAACAAAACCAAAAUACUGACCGUUAAACAAACUAACAAAAAAAAAAAACAUACAAAAUAAAAAUAA